GGCGGCAGGCUUAACACAUGCAAGUCGAGCGCGUAGCAAUACGAGCGGCAGACGGGUGAGUAACGCGUGGGAAUCUACCCAACCCUACGGAAUAACGCAUGGAAACGUGUGCUAAUACCGUAUACGCCCUUCGGGGGGAAAGAUUUAUCGGGGAUGGAUGAGCCCGCGUUGGAUUAGCUAGUUGGUGGGGUAAAGGCCUACCAAGGCGACGAUCCAUAGCUGGUCUGAGAGGAUGAUCAGCCACAUUGGGACUGAGACACGGCCCAAACUCCUACGGGAGGCAGCAGUGGGGAAUAUUGGGACAAUGGGCGCAAGCCUGAUCCAGCCAUGCCGCGUGAGUGAUGAAGGCCCUAGGGUUGUAAAGCUCUUUCACCGGUGAAGAUAAUGACGGCAACCGGAGAAGAAGCCCCGGCUAACUUCGUG
This 423-nucleotide ribosomal RNA is filed under the name uncultured bacterium. RNAcentral's name for it is "bacterial SSU rRNA". It matches the Rfam family "Bacterial small subunit ribosomal RNA", at positions 38 to 507 of the family's 1533-position model. The record is from RNAcentral.